Molecule: ribosomal RNA, 481 nt
Filed under: uncultured Clostridia bacterium
Lineage: Bacteria; Bacillati; Bacillota; Clostridia
Description: bacterial SSU rRNA
Rfam family: Bacterial small subunit ribosomal RNA
Source: RNAcentral
GAGUUUGAUCUUGGCUCAGGAUGAACGUUGGCGGCGUGCCUAACACAUGCAAGUCGAACGGGAAGCCGAUUCCGGUCGGCAGAGAGUGGCGCACGGGUGCGUAACACGUAGCUCACCUGGCCCAAAGCGUGGGAUAACGCACCGAAAGGUGUGCUAAAACCACAUAAGCUCACAGUUUGUAGAGGACAGUGAGAAAAACUCCGGUGCUUUGGGAUGGGGCUGCGGCCCAUCAGCUAGUUGGUGCGGUAAUGGCGCACCAAGGCGACGACGGGUAGGGGGCCUGAGAGGGUGGCCCCCACACUGGGACUGAGACACGGCCCAGACUCCUACGGGAGGCAGCAGUGAGGGAUAUUGCACAAUGGGCGCAAGCCUGAUGCAGCGACGCCGCGUGGGUGAUGAAGGUCUUCGGAUCCGUAAAACCCUUUCUGCGUGACGAUAAUGACGGUAGCGCAGGAAUAAGUGUCGGCUAACUACGUGCCAG